ACAAGUCUACCGGGAAAUCCACCCGCCCAACGGGUGGGCGUCCGGUAGAAACUGGCCGGCUUGGAACCGGAAGGCUCAGAGAGUACGUCCGGGGUAGGAGUGAAAUCCCGUAAUCCCGGACGGACUACCGAUGGCGAAAGCACUCUGAGAAGACGGCUUCGACAGUGAGGGACGAAAGCUCGGGUCUCAAACCGGAUUAG
RNAcentral lists this ribosomal RNA (200 nucleotides) under uncultured archaeon. RNAcentral describes it as "partial 16S ribosomal RNA". It matches the Rfam family "Archaeal small subunit ribosomal RNA", at positions 533 to 732 of the family's 1478-position model. The record is from RNAcentral.